Molecule: transfer RNA, 65 nt
Filed under: Anastrepha ornata
Lineage: Eukaryota; Metazoa; Arthropoda; Insecta; Diptera; Tephritidae
Description: tRNA-Thr
Rfam family: tRNA
About the family: Transfer RNA (tRNA) molecules are approximately 80 nucleotides in length. Their secondary structure includes four short double-helical elements and three loops (D, anti-codon, and T loops). Further hydrogen bonds mediate the characteristic L-shaped molecular structure. tRNAs have two regions of fundamental functional importance: the anti-codon, which is responsible for specific mRNA codon recognition, and the 3' end, to which the tRNAs corresponding amino acid is attached (by aminoacyl-tRNA synthetases). tRNAs cope with the degeneracy of the genetic code in two manners: having more than one tRNA (with a specific anti-codon) for a particular amino acid; and 'wobble' base-pairing, i.e. permitting non-standard base-pairing at the 3rd anti-codon position.
Source: RNAcentral
GUUUUAAUAGUUUAACAAAAACAUUGGUCUUGUAAAUCAAAAAUAAGAGUUAAUCUUUUAAAACU